UCAAAUCAGGUGAUUCCAGUUUCCCAGUUUGGGAAUAGGACAGCUUCUCUGUCGUUCAAAUCAAACCAGGAUAAAUCACUUUGUGAGAAGCUUGAUUUGGAUACAUAAAGUGGUGGAGAAUCACCAGGAAGUUGUUGAGAUGAGCUGAGGAAUAUAAGGAGAGUUGUUCAGGGUUGAAGAGGUUGUGAUGUGGAGAAGAGG
RNAcentral lists this long non-coding RNA (201 nucleotides) under Brassica napus (rape). RNAcentral's name for it is "long non-coding RNA (BNAP_LNC007868)". The record is from RNAcentral. Lineage: Eukaryota; Viridiplantae; Streptophyta; Magnoliopsida; Brassicales; Brassicaceae.